Molecule: ribosomal RNA, 519 nt
Filed under: uncultured Entrophospora
Lineage: Eukaryota; Fungi; Glomeromycota; Glomeromycetes; Entrophosporales; Entrophosporaceae
Description: SSU rRNA
Rfam family: Eukaryotic small subunit ribosomal RNA
Source: RNAcentral
AGCAGCCGCGGUAAUUCCAGCUCCAAUAGCGUAUAUUAAAGUUGUUGCAGUUAAAAAGCUCGUAGUUGAAUUUCGGGAUUGACGUGACGGUCGUGCCUUAAGGGGUAUGAACUGUCGCAGUUGAUUUCUCACCUUCUGGAGAAGCUUGAUGUCCUUAAUUGGGUGUCAUGUGGAACUAGGACCUUUACCUUGAAAAAAUUAGAGUGUUUAAAGCAGGCAUUUUUGCUCGAAUACAUUAGCAUGGAAUAAUAGAAUAGGACGGCAUGGUUCUAUUUUGUUGGUUUCUAGGAUCACCGUAAUGAUUAAUAGGGAUAGUUGGGGGCAUUAGUAUUCAAUUGUCAGAGGUGAAAUUCUUGGAUUUAUUGAAGACUAACUACUGCGAAAGCAUUUGCCAAGGAUGUUUUCAUUAAUCAAGAACGAAAGUUAGGGGAUCGAAGACGAUCAGAUACCGUCGUAGUCUUAACCAUAAACUAUGCCGACUAGGAAUCAGACGAUGUUAAUUUUUAAUUGACUCGUUUC